This 266-nucleotide ribosomal RNA is filed under the name uncultured bacterium. Its description in RNAcentral is "partial 16S ribosomal RNA". It matches the Rfam family "Bacterial small subunit ribosomal RNA", at positions 91 to 353 of the family's 1533-position model. The record is from RNAcentral.
GCGACCGGCGCACGGGUGAGUAACACGUAUCCAACCUGCCGAUGACUCGGGGAUAGCCUUUCGAAAGAAAGAUUAAUACCCGAUGGCAUAGUUCUUCCGCAUGGUAGAACUAUUAAAGAAUUUCGGUCAUCGAUGGGGAUGCGUUCCAUUAGGUUGUUGGCGGGGUAACGGGCCCACCAAGCCUUCGAUGGAUAGGGGGUUCUGAGAGGAAGGUCCCCCCACAUUGGAACUGAGACACGGUCCAAACUCCUACGGGAGGCAGCAUG